CAUGGAGGGUGAGAAUCCCGUUCAUGGUUAAUCUUAAGGAAGCUCUACGAUACGUUUUCCAAGAGUCGAGUUGUUUGGGAUUGCAGCUCAAAAUGGGAGGUAAAUUUCUCCUAAGGCUAAAUAUUGGCGAGAGACCGAUAGCGAACAAGUACCGUGAGGGAAAGAUGAAAAGAACUUUGAAAAGAGAGUUAAACAGUACGUGAAAUUGUUGAAAGGGAAACGAUUGAAGUCAGUCAUACCAACGGGAAAUCAACCUUUUGAGCUCGGUCUCGUGGGUUUUGAAGAGUUUCAAAGCCUUCGGAUUCGCGGGAUUGGGAUCUCUUGGCGUACUUUUUCGUACGGUUAGUCAACAUCGGUUUUGAAUGUCAUAAAAUGACUGGAGGAAUGUAGCUUCGAUCUCGUAUUGAAGUGUUAUAGCCUUUGGUAGAUGUGAUGUUUGAGACCGAGGAUUGCAACGGAUACCCUUCAGGGCUAUUCGUCUGAUCUCUGAUACGUUGCCUUGAUGUUGAAAGCUUGCUUAUGAUGUUAGGGUAUUACGGUCAAAAGGUUAGAACGAAUUACAUUCGUUAAGGAUGUUGACGUAAUGG
Molecule: ribosomal RNA, 587 nt
Filed under: uncultured Funneliformis
Lineage: Eukaryota; Fungi; Glomeromycota; Glomeromycetes; Glomerales; Glomeraceae
Description: LSU rRNA
Rfam family: Eukaryotic large subunit ribosomal RNA
Source: RNAcentral